GAUGGUGGUUCGGCACGGCUGUGUUGUGACUGGGUCAGUGAUGGGUGAUAGUGAAGGGGAGAGUGGAGCUGAUAUGGAGCAUAGCGGUACAGCAUCUCAGAGUGGACACCAACCCUGCAAUUUUUUUCUCCAAAUCCAACUGGUUGAGGAGGACAGGAGCCCUUGGACCACACCUCAGGACUACCAGGUCCAAAAGUCACGUAGCUGUCCCUGUCCAGUAUCCUCCUAGUUUGGUUGCAGAUCAAGAAGCUGAUGAAACCUGAUUCUUUCAGCUGCCCCUCCACCGACCAUUCCUGUCCCUAUCUUCGUCCAUCUGGUCAUGCAGUGGACUUGGAUUAUGUUUGACAGACUCUGGACACAACCUAUACGCAUUUAUUAAUUAUUACAAUUUGUGGUCUUAAAAUGUUCACCCGGCAUAGCCAGAAGAGAAUUGGCCAUCCCUCAGGGCCUGGUGGCACUAGAUUUCUUCCAAAUUUUCAUCCCUUUUAGGGAGUUAUUCCUAGCCACUGUGCAUCUACAUUGUUGUUGCUUGCUCUUUGGGGUUUCAGGCUGAGUGUUUAGUAUAAGCACUUUCUGGCAACUGCUGUAGUGUAAUGACAAAUGUCUGCUGAGGAAGAGUGGAAGUGUAUUUGACAAAGAAGCACAUCUGGCCCCACCAAGUCUCUAACACACCCUUGGUGUAUCCUGGGUAACAUUUGCUUCUCUAAAGAUCUGGAACACCAGGUGUAGACCAUCAGCCCCAACUUUCUGAGCUCACCUGGAGAGGUGUGAAACACUGAGCAAACUGGAGUGUAAACUAAAUACAUUAUAUUGUGGACAUUCAUCUGUAGUGGUUGGAUUUCCCCUGUUCUAUGGAAAAACCUGAGUAGGCUGAUAUGCUUUAUUGUAAUGUACGGGUUAUGGGUCAAACUUCACAAGAACUGAUUGUAGAUUGUAGAAAUUAUUGUCCUUGUUGCAUGUCUGACAACAACUGGCAGCAACACCCCGUCCAUUCGAUUAUUUUGCAUUGAUUAUGUGGGACAGUUCCUGUGCUUUGUGUUCAUUGUGUUUGCCAAAGUAAGGUAAUGCUAAUGACUAUUUGGGGGAGUGUUUUAGAUUUGUCUCCAAAAAGAUAUUUUAGUUUGUCCUCAUUAAAGAGACCUCCCAACACAUUGUGUUGUAGUCAUAUUUAGGAGUCUAUUGAAAACAGCCACGUGUGGGAACUAAACUCAUCCACUAGUUAACAACAGUAACUUCUAAAACUGCACUACCCAUUUUACGCCACUAGGCGCUACACUCACAACACCAAUGAUGCACAGCAGCCUAGAAAAGAAAAUUUACAUUUCUCAACCAGAACAAGUAUUGACAGUGAAGUAGCUAAUGUCCCCCUAUUAUCGGCCACCCCCUAUUAUUGGCCAUUUCUAUCGGUGGGAGAACUAAAUUCUCCCAAGUUCAAAAUUUAAAUGCACUGGAAAACAUCUGAAUAUUUUGCCUGUUAAAUAUACCCUUUCAGCUAGCCAAUCAUCAUGUUUUAUAGAAAUGUAUGGAGGUUAAAUACUGUUUUUAGAUGUAAAAUUUUAAUUUAUGGAAAUUGUUUAAGACAAGUUGCAACUCGUGAAAUUUUACUUGCGUGACAGGCCAGACAUCAU
Molecule: long non-coding RNA, 1628 nt
Organism: Esox lucius (northern pike)
Lineage: Eukaryota; Metazoa; Chordata; Actinopteri; Esociformes; Esocidae
Exons: 3
Source: RefSeq, a predicted model, not a curated record